GGAGCUUCAGUCAACAAAAAUGAAAUCAACAAAAAACAACCAUCACAAAUCAACAUGUUAUCACUUUGAAAAUAGAUUCAAAUAAUUUCAAUCAACAAAAUUUCACAAAUCAAAUAGAUUAAAAAAAUCGGGAAACAUAAAUAGGUGUCUGUCAACAAACCUCUCCCACGAUGUACUCCCAAUAUUCUUUUUCUCCAAUUACAGUGGGUGUUUGAAGAAGAGACAGGUGACGUUUGAGAAAGGGAAAGAGGAUACGAUUGAGAAACCAGUGAAGUUUGAGAUCUCUGGUGAGGUAAGGGAAAGGUGAGUGGUGAGUGAUUCAGUCAACGGUGAGGGGUUUCGGUGGAUUUCGGUCAAUUAGUGAGUGAUACCGGUGAGGUCGAGUGAAUCGUGAGUGAGUUAUGUGACAUCGAGUUAGGGUUUUAUGAGUUUGUGAGUGUGACGCUUUGUUCAGAGGUUUUUUAUUUCUUGUGAGUGAGUUUGUAAGUGAAAUGAAAUAAAAGAGAGAAAUA
Molecule: long non-coding RNA, 512 nt
Filed under: Trifolium pratense (red clover)
Lineage: Eukaryota; Viridiplantae; Streptophyta; Magnoliopsida; Fabales; Fabaceae
Description: long non-coding RNA (TPRA_LNC013596)
Source: RNAcentral